RNAcentral lists this ribosomal RNA (510 nucleotides) under uncultured bacterium. Its description in RNAcentral is "partial 16S ribosomal RNA". It matches the Rfam family "Bacterial small subunit ribosomal RNA", at positions 28 to 507 of the family's 1533-position model. The record is from RNAcentral.
GACGAACGCUGGCGGCGUGCUUAACACAUGCAAGUCGAACGAAGAGCGAUGGAAGCUUGCUUCUAUCAAUCUUAGUGGCGCACGGGUGAGUAACGCGUAAUCAACCUGCCCUUCAGAGGGGGACAACAGUUGGAAACGACUGCUAAUACCGCAUACGAUCUAAUCUCGGCAUCGAGGAUAGAUGAAAGGUGGCCUCUACAUGUAAGCUAUCACUGAAGGAGGGGAUUGCGUCUGAUUAGCUAGUUGGAGGGGUAACGGCCCACCAAGGCGAUGAUCAGUAGCCGGUCUGAGAGGAUGAACGGCCACAUUGGGACUGAGACACGGCCCAGACUCCUACGGGAGGCAGCAGUGGGGAAUCUUCCGCAAUGGACGAAAGUCUGACGGAGCAACGCCGCGUGAGUGAUGACGGCCUUCGGGUUGUAAAGCUCUGUUAAUCGGGACGAAAGGCCUUCUUGCGAAUAGUGAGAAGGAUUGACGGUACCGGAAUAGAAAGCCACGGCUAACUACGUG